RNAcentral lists this ribosomal RNA (497 nucleotides) under uncultured bacterium. RNAcentral describes it as "partial 16S ribosomal RNA". It matches the Rfam family "Bacterial small subunit ribosomal RNA", at positions 28 to 507 of the family's 1533-position model. The record is from RNAcentral.
GAUGAACGCUGGCGGCGUGCCUAAUACAUGCAAGUCGAGCGAACAGACGAGGAGCUUGCUCCUCUGACGUUAGCGGCGGACGGGUGAGUAACACGUGGAUAACCUACCUAUAAGACUGGGAUAACUUCGGGAAACCGGAGCUAAUACCGGAUAAUAUAUUGAACCGCAUGGUUCAAUAGUGAAAGACGGUUUUGCUGUCACUUAUAGAUGGAUCCGCGCCGCAUUAGCUAGUUGGUAAGGUAACGGCUUACCAAGGCAACGAUGCGUAGCCGACCUGAGAGGGUGAUCGGCCACACUGGAACUGAGACACGGUCCAGACUCCUACGGGAGGCAGCAGUAGGGAAUCUUCCGCGAUGGGCGAGAGCCUGACGGAGCAACGCCGCGUGAGUGAUGAAGGUCUUCGGAUCGUAAAACUCUGUUAUUAGGGAAGAACAAAUGUGUAAGUAACUAUGCACGUCUUGACGGUACCUAAUCAGAAAGCCACGGCUAACUACGUG